Molecule: ribosomal RNA, 274 nt
Filed under: uncultured bacterium
Lineage: Bacteria
Description: partial 16S ribosomal RNA
Rfam family: Bacterial small subunit ribosomal RNA
Source: RNAcentral
AUACGGAGGUGGCGAAUGUUGCUCGGAAUUACUGGGCGUAAAGCGCGCGUAGGCGGGUUGGCAAGUUGAAGGUGAAAUCCCAGGGCUCAACCCUGGAACUGCCUCCAAAACUGCCAGUCUUGAGUUCGGAAGAGGUGAGUGGAAUUCCUAGUGUAGAGGUGAAAUUCGUAGAUAUUAGGAAGAACACCAGUGGCGAAGGCGACUCACUGGUCCGAUACUGACGCUGAGGUGCGAAAGCGUGGGGAGCAAACAGGAUUAGAAACCCGGGUAGUCC